AGAUCAGAGAGAGAGAGUAGCCAUCAGAGAGAGACCAUCAGAGAGAGAGUAGCCAUCAGAGAGAGAGUAGCCAUCAGAGAGAGAGUAGCCAUCAGAGAGAGAGUAGCCAUCAGAGAGAGAGUAGCCAUCAGAGAGAGAGUAGCCAUCAGAGAGAGAGUAGCCAUCAGAGAGAGAGUAGCCAUCAGAGAGAGAGAGUAGCCAUCAGGGAGAGAGUAGCCAUCGGAGAGAGAGUAGCCAUCAGAGAGAGCGUAGCCAUCAGGGAGAGAGUAGCCAUCAGGGACGUGGCCCCGGGUCUUGACCCCGUGGGGACCACAUACAGGGUUCUCUCAGCUAAGGGAUAGAUUGAAGUUUACAGAAUUGUUUCCUGUAGGAAAAUAGAGGAGGGUCAUGCUUUUUCAAUUUCAGUCAAGGGAGGGUUUAGUAUUUUUUUUAAAUCGAGCCCAGGGUAGGGUCAUGUCAUUUAUAAUUGAUUAAAUUUAAAUAUUUCUCAGUGUUUUAAAAAUAGUUGCUUAUUAGGCUAUUUAUCCAUGUGGAGCCCGACGCCGCCCCUCAUCUGAUUCUCUGCUGGGUGCACAAUAUCAAGUUCACCUCUCGGCUAUUUAGUGUGAUAUCAAUCAGAUGAUCUAUACCCUAUAGGGUAUGAUGAAGUGCAUGCUGGGAGAAGCACCGAGCCAACGUUACAUUUCUAAGACAGCUGCUGGUUUAUAUAAAACGAGGCUGCAUUAAACACUGAAAUGGACAUUCCAACCCUGAGCUCUACCUG
Oncorhynchus tshawytscha (Chinook salmon) is the source of this 763-nucleotide long non-coding RNA. Lineage: Eukaryota; Metazoa; Chordata; Actinopteri; Salmoniformes; Salmonidae. The record is from Ensembl.